UGGGGAAUUUUCCGCAAUGGGCGAAAGCCUGACAGAGCAAUGCCGCGUGGAGGUGGAAGGCCUACGGGUUGUCAACUUCUUUUCUCAGAGAAGAAACAAUGGCAGUAUCUGAGGAAUAAGCAUCGUCUAACUCUGUGCCAC
Molecule: ribosomal RNA, 141 nt
Filed under: uncultured bacterium
Lineage: Bacteria
Description: partial 16S rRNA
Rfam family: Bacterial small subunit ribosomal RNA
Source: RNAcentral